Molecule: long non-coding RNA, 1099 nt
Filed under: Salmo salar (Atlantic salmon)
Lineage: Eukaryota; Metazoa; Chordata; Actinopteri; Salmoniformes; Salmonidae
Description: lncRNA (ENSSSAG00000101543.1)
Source: RNAcentral
GGAAUGGCGAAGACCUGCGUUGCAGUAUAUAUCGGACAAGACAAAGUUCAAUCGUACACUACUAAACUUGGCUGGACCAGACGCAGUGGACAAGUCGGGAGUAUUCGUCUUUGUAGAGGGGACCAAGUGUGGUUCCUCCGCAUGCCGUACGGCAUCUCCACUGGCAGUGAGGUCUUCCAGAGAUCGAUGGAGCAUCUGUUUGCUGGGCAGCCAUGUAAGAUAGUGGACGACAUCCUGGUGUGGGGGACACACACUGGAUGAACACGAUGAGCGCCUCAAACAGGUCCUCAACAGGAUUAGGGCUGUCAACGUGAAGCUGAAUCCAGAGAAGUGCAGAUUCAGGCUCCAUAACAUUCCCUACGUCGGGCAACUUCUCACAGCCAACAGAGUGAAACCUGACCUGGAAAAGACAGGCCAUCAUGCAGAUGCCCAAGCCAGCAGAAAAGCAGACACUGCAGCACUUUCUGGGUCUGACUAACUAUCUAAGUUCACGCCACAAUACAGUGAGGUGAUGGGGCUCCUCUAUCAGGAUACUGAAUGAUGCUGUAAGGAGCAACAUGACACUGCCCUGACCAAACUGAAAGAGUUGCUGUCGAAGUACUGGAGCACCGGUUAGCUAUGAUGUGGGCAAACCAGUGAUGAUAUCUGCAGAUGCAUCCCAGCAUGGUCUCGGAGAAAUAUGUCUACAAAUAAAAUUGUAUUUGUCACAUGCUUCGUAAACAACAGUGGAAUGCUUACUUAUGGGCCCUUCCCAACAAUGCAGAGAGAAAAAUAUAGAAAAAGAAUAACACAAGGAACAAAUACACAAUGAAUAACAAUAACUUGGCUGUAUGCAGAGGGUACCAGUACCGAGUUGAUGUGCAGGGGUAAGAGUGGCUCCAUCUCCGAUGAGCGAAGUGCCAGAGACACACCUGCUGCAGGGGUUGGAUUGAAUUUGGCUACCAGAGGAUUCAGUAUGCAUGCAAAGCGCUCAUGCAGUGACUACAGGAGGACCUAUGCCAACUGUUUUACAACAGUAGUUGACUGCAAGUGUGCCUCAAGUUUGAGCAGGCACGGCACCACCUCAGAUAGUGACUGGCUGCUGAUGUUUCAAAUAGGC